GUCCACGCCUAACGAUGUCAACUGGUUGUUGGGUCUUAACUGACUCAGUAACGAAGCUAACGCGUGAAGUUGACCGCCUGGGGAGUACGGCCGCAAGGUUGAAACUCAAAGGAAUUGACGGGACCCGCACAAGCGGUGGAUGAUGUGGUUUAAUUCGAUGCAACGCGAAACCUUACCCACCUUUGACAUGUACGGAAUCCUUUAGAGAUAGAGGAGUGCUCGAAAGAGAGCCGUAACACAGGUGCUGCAUGGCUGUCGU
This 259-nucleotide ribosomal RNA is filed under the name uncultured bacterium. Its description in RNAcentral is "partial 16S ribosomal RNA". It matches the Rfam family "Bacterial small subunit ribosomal RNA", at positions 793 to 1055 of the family's 1533-position model. The record is from RNAcentral.